This is a long non-coding RNA of Rhincodon typus (whale shark), 1018 nucleotides long. RefSeq lists it as uncharacterized. The record is from RefSeq and is a predicted model, not a curated record. Lineage: Eukaryota; Metazoa; Chordata; Chondrichthyes; Orectolobiformes; Rhincodontidae. The transcript has 4 exons.
CAAUUUUCAUCAGCUUCUAGGACUCAGCGGUGACCUCAGAAAUCACCUCAAAUCACAGCGCAGACAUCCAUAGCCCUCUGACAGAAGAGCAGUAUACGCAGGAACAGGAUGACGGGAGCGCGACUGCACGAUGUAGAGAUGAAGGAGAUGCGCCGGGAAAGGAAAGUUGGUUGUUGUGAGAUGCACUUACCCGGAGAUAACUGAAGCCGGUUUAUGUCGGAUUGUACAAACUCCUUACAGUUUACUGUGAAGGCCAAUUCCUGGCUGGCACCCAUUUGACCUGGUGAGUGUCUGGGCUUUAAACACAUGGCUGGUGGCAGAAGAUCCCAGAAGGUGGCGAGAACAGCCUGAAAUGGAUUGUGACAAGAUACCUGCACUUAACUAGGCCAAAUCAAUCUCUGAGUCCAGCAGAAAUUUCCGAGCAACAAACCUGCGGUUUUACAGAAUGGAUUUGUCACAUGUUGCAGCAGAAGAUCAACAUCACUCAGAUACUGCCAAAAGAUCUCAAUGUAACAUGACCAUAUUCUCAUCGAUUUAUCAUCAGACAGUGCCACCAGUAACCAUCAUCUCACGCAGGCAACGUGGAUGGAGUGUCUAUGAACUUCAAUCUGCCCGACAUCUGAAGUAUGGAGUGAAAAGGUGCAAAACCAACCCAAGUGAAAACCACAGGAGAAGGGAGGGUUCACAGGGGUACUAUGGCUGAAGGAAUAAAAUUCAAGUCUGUGGUAAUGUUCAGAUAUUAAAGCCAUGUGGAAAAUCAAGUUCCAUGCAAGACGUCCAUGGUAACAGAUGGAAGGAUGAGGAAGCUGUGAAUUGAUAAUGUAUUGAGUAGAUGCCCUGGUAGCUUACAUAAAGGAUACAGAUGUUUAGUGUGGAACAUGUUCUGAUCCCAUAAUACCUUAGAGAAAGAAAGCCACCCAGGAAACAAUAGUACCCACAUUACUGCUGGACAAGGGGGUCCAAUGUACAUAGUGCACAUCUGAUCCAGAGGGAUGCUGCAAUGAUGCCUUAACCAUGC